Non-coding RNA from Ornithorhynchus anatinus (platypus), 72 nucleotides. Lineage: Eukaryota; Metazoa; Chordata; Mammalia; Monotremata; Ornithorhynchidae. The record is from Rfam.
UGGUUUGAGGUGGACACAUGGUGCAGUGUGAUAGUGGAAUAUGCUGUAUCACGUGUGACCUCCCUCUACUGU